UGGAAGUGGAGGUAAGGGUAUCUUGCUGGAGAUCCCAGUCUACUUGAGUUCUUCUAAAGAUGAGAUCCUAGAGCAAACCCUCAGCCUGCAGGAGUCUUCCAAAAAAGUUGUUAGAAGAGACAUCAUCAUUAUGAUGGUGAUAGGAUUUGUCAGGUACUGGAGAUGGGAUAGUUUGAAAAUUGAAGACUGGAAAGAGUGACUUAGAAAGAAGCAAGCACUUAUUAGUCCACAGCAGUGUUCCUAGGGAGCUGUUCAUCCAAAGAACAACUAUCCUGGAAAACAGACUAGUGUCAGUGUUGGCUGUCAACCUGGAAAAAACUAGCACAGUGCGGAGGAAGCGUUGACCCCUUUUUUGGUUCUCAUCAGCAUGGGAGGCUUGCAGAAUAUUACACGGACAUCUAGAAGAAAGAAGUUAAAAUUUUGAAAUACUUCAGCGAUGUGAUCAGCAGACAGUAGUGGGAAAGAAUUUCUCUUAAACUUGAAUUGUGAUCAAAAUAAGGAAGGAAGAUCUGAAAGACCAGAAAAUAUCUUUGUUAAUCAGGAUAUGGCACUUUCCAACAUCUGGAUGUCAAAACACUUGUUUUGAAUUCAAUACUAUUAACAUGUGUCACUUAAAUGAAUUUUUUUCCUCCAGAGCCAAUUGGGUGGCUACGAUGUUUGGCCAAGUUUUUGCAGUCUGUUGCUUACAUUACCUGACCUGUGGUCUGUUUGUCUUACGAUCUCUGUGGGAAAAAACAGCAAGAGUCCUCAACCCUGCCCACCCCCACUCUGCCCACCCAAAAAAAGCAAUACCACAAAGCCCUGAAAAUAAAUCAGAACCCAGAAACAAAGUUCUAGGAUGAAGUCUCAUCCUUCCACUGAACCUUUUUGACCGGAUGGUAACCUCAUGGGAUUUCUGUCGCUUUUGCCUGUGACAUCAUAUAACAUCAAAUCAUCUGAUUCUUCUGAAUAUCAUUGAGGCAUGAUUAAACUGAAUACAACAACUUGGGAAUCCAGCAAAAAAAGAAAAAAGUUUGAAUAAAAGGUCAGACAAAGAUCAGGCAUCAGCUCUCGCUCUUUGCAAAAUGAUAAAACUAACAGGGAAUGACUCAGCUAGCCCUGAUGAAAAAGCUCCUUUCUUUGCAGUGUAAACAACACAGUCGGUGUUCUUGAAAUCCCAGACUGAAACAUCAACCAGCACUGGAAAAUACGAUAUCCCAGAAUGCCUUCCCUGUCCUGGGUAUAACCCGUCACCAGCAUUUCAGGGGAUCUUAUUCACUGUGACUGGGACUAACUACUCAAAAAAGACUGUUGCAUGAGUAAAAGGGAAAAAAGCUUGUGUGUGGACUGACCUCGAGAGUGUGAAGCAAAUAUUUUGUUUCAAAUCAACUUUUGACCCAUUUCAGCAAUAAAUUGAGUGACCAGUAAUUGAAACCAGGAAAAAGAGAGAGAAAAAGGAGGUAAAUGUGGCUUUGAAGGAAUGAAUUAAGGAUCAGAGUAACAAAGAGUAUCUCUUCACACUGAAACUUGGUGUCUAAUUUUUUUGCUGAAUAACUUGUUUUGAAGAAUAAGAGACUUCUGCUCUUGCCAGGUCCCUACAGCUAGGUUUUAUGGUUACAACGAGCAAGUAUGCAUCUGUGUAAACGUUCCUUAAUUUUCUGUUUUACAUUGUAUUUACAUUGCUCAGACAGUAAAACCACUGAAUGUUUUAAUUAGCUCUCCCAUGGCUCUGAAAACAUUUGAAAUUUACAUGUAGUGUGAAAAGACUGGAGGAACAAAUAAAGGCUAAGUGCUCACAAACGUGGUGAAAUGCUUAAAGUGCACCAGUUGUAUGUGGUUUGGGUUCGGGACAGGACAAAGGAAGUUUGGCAUGUGGUGGGUGUUGGAUUCCACAGCCCUCACACAGACCCAGCCCAUGUGUGGGCAGGAUGCUUAGGAAUCACAUUAGCUUUGGCAAAACGAUGCCCAGAAACAAAUAUGAGGGUAGGGUUGCAAAGGGAUGGGAAUGGCUGCUGCUUGAUCCUGCUUGAAGGACCAGCAUUUGUCAUUUGCUGAAGAAGAGUUUCUCCCAAAUGUUUUCAGAGACUCAUCAGAGGGGCUGCUAAAAAGGUCUCACGUCAUUAGACAAAUGAAAGCUUUCUAUGGAAUCACUGUUCUAAUAGGGAAUCAUUGUUUUUAGUGCAAUUUUCAUAGACUCAUAGAAUAAAAGAGGUUGGAAGAAACUUCGAGAGAUUGUGCUCAUUAAGAGCAGUAUUUUGCAUGUCAAUGUGGAGUUGACAAAACCUGCCAAUGAAUCUCUCUUGUCUUUGUUCUGAGGAUACAUGUAACUAUGCAAAUGCUCUAACACUAGGCUGUCAUGCUAUUUUAGUCAUAAUUCAGCUUUCAGGGUAUUUUUGAGCCUCUGUGCUGACUCUGCCAAUGCAGUAGCUAAUUAAUAAAGAACCACUGGAAGAGGACUGAAAGGGAUGAUCAAAUGCAUCCACCUUAAUGAGGCAGGACCAACAAUCUUAAUGCUAUGUGCACUUGCUGUGCUUGCAAUUAGACGUUUGUCUCCAAAGACCUAAACUGAAACCGUUAAUGGAGCCAUGGCUUUUUGUAAUGUUCCUGGAACUCUCAUAUCUUAGAUUAUAAUCUGAUAAUGAGCGAUCGUCCUUAGCUUGCAUUUAGCGUCUCUUGCAAAGCAAAGAAGUGAUCUUUCACUUGGGGCUGGAGAUAAAAGAAGGAUUAAGUUGGGGCACAUAGAAGUCAUAUUCAGGGAUUUGUUUUAAAAGGCUGGCAAUUCGUUAAAGUUAUAAUUCAAGGGAACUGUAGAAAAAUUAUGGCCAUUUUUAUUAAAGUUAUUGAUUUUUGUAGUUUGAAUCCUCAAAUGUUAAUGUUAUUACAUUGUUCUAGAUGAGGUCUGAUUUGAGGUCAAUUUCUGAGUUUUGCCAUCUUGUGGCCUGGUGCUGCACUGCGACCACCCUUCCUGUUCCAUCUGCAGAUGCAGCAGCUUUGAAACAACGUGCUUUCAUAAAGAUCUCACAACAGUCUCUGACUGGUCUUUUCUAUAAUCUGCAGUUUUUCUUAGGUUUAGGGCUUCAUCCAAUACUGUUUCUCUUUCUGCUUCUCCAGUUCUCAGCAGAAAGCCAUGCCAUUCCCAGUCAGGGCUGUGAGUGAGAUGGGGAUCCACAUCUCUUUCCUAGCCUGAUCCCUUGUGCCAUUUGCUACUUAUACAGGCAUGAUCGCCUCACUCUUGAAACUGUGACUGAAUUUGAAAAACCAUUCUAGUUCAUUGCAGUUUUCAGUCUACCUCAGAUACUGCUUUGACUGCGCUAGGACCAAUUCUUCAUAGACUUUUAUAGUCAGCUAUAAAGUUUCUGUCUUCCUUCCUUUAGUUUCCUCUACCCAUCCUUCUUGCAACUAUUUACUUUAAGCAUAGAAUAUUCAAUCAGAGAUGCUGCACCUCAGGAUCACACAGACCUCAAAGGAAAGUGCUAUGUUUCUAUCACUUGUUUUUAUUGCAGGACUCAACCUACAAGAGUAAAAUAAAUAAAUCUUUCAGUUACAACAGCUCUUUCUUAAUUUUUCUAUUCUAUGCUUUUGGGGCAAGUGCGAUGUUAGUGUUAUAGCAUCGUGCUUAAAGGUGCUGGAGAAUGAUUAAGGUGAACACUGCGAGCUUCUGAUCCAAGUUUAUUGGCUUUCAGUACGUUAGUUAAGAGAAUUCAGGUCUCUUGCAUUAGCUCUGUCUUAGCAGUCUUCCUUACCGAGAGGUCUCCAUGGAAGACAUAUGAAGUUUUUCUGACUUUCAGUUCUUCUUAGACUUUUCCAGUCCUAGCAGGAGCUGAGUUUUGCUGACAUGAGGAUCCUUCUCUCUCCCAUUUGCCAGAACAAUGUCUUUAUUCUAAGCUUGAAGAACUCGGAGGCCAGUCAAAAAGUUGUCUUGCUAAGUAGUUUAUCUAAGGCUAGCCAGCUGUGGCCUCCUUUCUCCUUGAUAAGCCUGAGGUCCAGUGAAGAAGAACUUGAGUGUAACAAAUCUGAACAGAGUAGCAGUUCUGCUGAAUAGGAAUCCAGUAUUGAGUUCAUACUUCCCCCACAUGUACCAUGAGAAAAAGUAUCUCCUGGAAGUGUAUCAGUCUGCAGACUCAGUUGGAAAAAAGGAGGAAAUGAAAUAGACAAGUUAAAUUGAAGGAGAGGGGAAGAAAAAAAGUUAGGAUUUUCCUUCUCAUAGUUCAUUUAAAGUUUAUUGUUGUUUUGUUUCUUAAAUGGAAAAACAGAGUCAGUUGACACAAUGACUAAAGAAGUUAUUUUUUUGCUCUAGGACUUUGAGUUAUGGCCAGAUACCUGAAUUUUGUGCACCUGCAUGUCUCCUUGGGAUGUUUUUAAAAAGCCUGAACAGUUUAUAGCUGGAAUUAGACUCUGUUGCAUUUUGCAUUGUCUGAUAUAUGAAAACAAAAAUGAACAAACAAACAAAAAUUGAGUGCUAUUAGAUCAUUUGAAGAGAACUUAAAACAAGCUUUACCAAAUUUUUUGUGCUUUAGUUUAUUGUGGCUGCUCUUAGUCUUAGCUUUGGUGAGUUUGUCAUCCUUCUCUUGAAAAAA
This is a non-coding RNA of Meleagris gallopavo (turkey), 4556 nucleotides long. NCBI's taxonomy places the organism in Eukaryota, Metazoa, Chordata, Aves, Galliformes, Phasianidae. The record is from RefSeq and is a predicted model, not a curated record.